Molecule: ribosomal RNA, 468 nt
Filed under: uncultured bacterium
Lineage: Bacteria
Description: partial 16S ribosomal RNA
Rfam family: Bacterial small subunit ribosomal RNA
Source: RNAcentral
GACGAACGCUGGCGGCGUGCUUAACACAUGCAAGUCGAACGGAAAGGCCCUGCUUUUGUGGGGUGCUCGAGUGGCGAACGGGUGAGUAACACGUGAGUAACCUGCCCUUGACUUUGGGAUAACUUCAGUAAACUGGUGCUAAUACCGGAUAGGAGCUCCUGCUGCAUGGUGGGGGUUGGAAAGUUUCGGCGGUUGGGGAUGGACUCGCGGCUUAUCAGCUUGUUGGUGGGGUAGUGGCUUACCAAGGCUUUGACGGGUAGCCGGCCUGAGAGGGUGACCGGCCACAUUGGGACUGAGAUACGGCCCAGACUCCUACGGGAGGCAGCAGUGGGGAAUAUUGCACAAUGGGCGGAAGCCUGAUGCAGCAACGCCGCGUGCGGGAUGACGGCCUUCGGGUUGUAAACCGCUUUCGCCUGUGACGAAGCGUGAGUGACGGUAAUGGGUAAAGAAGCACCGGCUAACUACGUG